RNAcentral lists this ribosomal RNA (404 nucleotides) under Actinomycetes bacterium. RNAcentral describes it as "Actinobacteria bacterium partial 16S ribosomal RNA". It matches the Rfam family "Bacterial small subunit ribosomal RNA", at positions 355 to 776 of the family's 1533-position model. Lineage: Bacteria; Bacillati; Actinomycetota; Actinomycetes. The record is from RNAcentral.
UGGGGAAUAUUGGACAAUGGGCGCAAGCCUGAUCCAGCCAUGCCGCGUGAGUGAUGAAGGCCCUAGGGUUGUAAAGCUCUUUCACCGGUGAAGAUAAUGACGGUAACCGGAGAAGAAGCCCCGGCUAACUUCGUGCCAGCAGCCGCGGUAAUACGAAGGGGGCUAGCGUUGUUCGGAUUUACUGGGCGUAAAGCGCACGUAGGCGGACUAUUAAGUCAGGGGUGAAAUCCCGGGGCUCAACCCCGGAACUGCCUUUGAUACUGGUAGUCUUGAGUUCGAGAGAGGUGAGUGGAAUUCCGAGUGUAGAGGUGAAAUUCGUAGAUAUUCGGAGGAACACCAGUGGCGAAGGCGGCUCACUGGCUAGAUACUGACGCUGAGGUGCGAAAGCGUGGGGAGCAAACAGG